Molecule: non-coding RNA, 746 nt
Filed under: Pan troglodytes (chimpanzee)
Lineage: Eukaryota; Metazoa; Chordata; Mammalia; Primates; Hominidae
Source: RNAcentral
CCGGGGACCGGCCUCCGCCGCGGGCUCUGCCCGCUCGCCUGCUCGCCUGCUCGCCUGGUGGGGGAGAGGGGAGCGGGGCCGACACAGGGUUCCUGACCAAGCUGGUGCUUCUGCGUGUGUUCCUGCAUGACUUGGUGUGUCCCCUUCUCUUGGAUCUACUGCAGUUGACAGCAGAUAACUGAAAGCUCGGAAAGCGAAACCGUGGAUAAGCAGGGGAACUGUGGCAUCCCAUUUAAAAUUGCUUCUGAAGAGAAGCAUGAGGUUACAUCUGUAAUCUCCCUGCAGCAGAGUCAACUGCAUAAGAAACCAAAAGACACACCUGCUCCAUGCCAGCCUAAGCCACCACAUAAAAAGUCAGACCAUCUGCUGGAAGAACCACAUGGAGAGGCCCUGAGUCGACAUGGAGAGGAAGAAGGACUUAACUGAAUCCAGCCUUCCAGCUGUCCCUACCAAGGUGCCAGGCACGAGAAUGAAGCUGUCUUGGACUCUGAAGACCAGCUUAGCCACCAGGUAAAUGCCACUAAGUGACCUCACUCAAUGUCAUGUGGGACGGAAGAAUCACCCCGCCAAACCCUUCCUGGAUCCCUGACCCAGAAAUUUGUCAGAUGUAAUGGUUGUGAAAAGCCACUCAAUUUGGGGGCAGUUUGUAUGCAGCAUAGCUAGCUGGUAUGAUACAACAGCCUGCAAUUCAGGCAGCAGCAGCACUAACAACGAUGAAAUCCUGCAGGAGCGAACUCCUUUGGGGU